CAUUUUGCUUACACCAAAAAAAUAUCUAAAAAUAGAUUAUUCUG
RNAcentral lists this transfer RNA (44 nucleotides) under Pseudoeurycea gadovii (Gadow's false brook salamander). Its description in RNAcentral is "partial tRNA-Val". Lineage: Eukaryota; Metazoa; Chordata; Amphibia; Caudata; Plethodontidae. The record is from RNAcentral.